AGCAUGCCUUCAACAACAACACACCUAAAUCACAAGCUUCCCCUGCUCUCAGCCCUCCGUCUGUUUCCCUGCCUUGUGGAUCUACGUAGCUGUCCACGGUCAUUAUACAGUAGAUAUACAGUAUAUCCAUGCACAGAGAGGUCUAAGUGCCACCUGGCAGCAACCGUCUGCUUGAUAUGUCUGCUUUACCAGGGGCAGACUAUAGGAGGGCAUCGCAGAGAAUUUAUCAGACAAUGAAGAGAAGGUAGGAUGGGGGUCACAAAAAAAUUAUACACUUUUUAAACCCAUACUUAAGCACAAGGUAAGUAUAUUUAGCAUGUUUGAAGAAAUGCCACAAAACUAAAUUAAUAGGUAAAGAACAAUGUCUGAGAUGAUGAAUGAGAUGUUAUAGGUGAAGUACAUUCUGUGAAACGUUAGUAUGUAAGGUAUGCCUGCACUUGCCUGAGACCUUGCUUUAGUAAAAGUUUGUGUCAGUUACAGGAGGCAGACUAGUUGCUGGUGUUUUACAGCAUUUAAUCUUACUUCCAUUUAUCCUAUUUGAUAUCCAGCACAUUUAUACUUCUUUGCACAGGCCACCAAGACGCAUCUUGAUCCUUGUGUAAAUAGAUCUUUGUCUUACUUUCAUUUGCUUAAAUGUAUUUAUUCAAUGCCUGUGCAUUCAUCAAUGUAGUACUUUCACUCUUUUAUAUACACACACACACACACACACACACAUGCGCUUCAUGCUAUAAAAGAUUUAUUACAUGGUGUAAUGGGGUACCUGGCAAACAGUGUGAGCUGGUGAUUAAAUACAGGUCUGUAAAUGUCACUUGUUUUUUAAUGCCAUGGCAACAGAGCCACUAUUUUUAUUUUUGUUUGGUCUUAAUUGUCACUGCCGGUUGGCUCGUUAUGCCCUAUGCUACUUUAUUACAGCAUUGUAUCCUGGCUGGUUGUGUAGAACAGGAUGCUUCACAUUUAAAUAAAAGAGAGAAAGAGGUACAAAAAUUUAUAAAGUGUAGUACAGUAGAUUUAGAAUUUCAAUGUACUGGAGGACGUAAAUCGCAAUGUUAAUUGCCACAUUGAGAGAAAUAGGGCUUACAAACAGGGGAAUACUAAGAGAUGGAGGACAUUACCUUGUGAAGCUAAAUAAAAAAAUAUUUAUAAUUGCACCAGUAGCGCUAAUCGUAGUUUGCUCAAAGACAUGGAUGGCUUGUAGGGAGAAGACCAGACUGGGUUGUAUGGAAGUACAUGGUCCUUGUGAGAACAAGAUCAGAUCCCCUGUCACCCCCUAACCAAAUAUCUGAAAUGUUCUAAUGCCUGUUUACAACUACACUGUAUAAUACAAAAAGCAAAAAUCUCAACCUCAACCAUUCCAAAUAAGAUGAUAUAGACUUACCACUGCUGAUACUUCCUUAUCUGCAGCAUACCCAAAUCCUAUACCACAGUUACAUGACAUGCAUAUUCAUAACUGCGCUCCUCCUUCAUCAGCAUCUGCUUCAUCUGUGACCAAUCACAACAUUAUUUUGAAAUUUAUUAGGCCUGUAUUCAUAAGUAUUUUUUAGGCCUGCUUUCACUGUGGACCUAUAGACCUAUAUCUCAGGACUAGUGGUUGCAAAAUGGGAACACAUCCUGGGCGGGACACCAGUCCAUUGCAGGGCAAAGUGCACACACACAUGCAGAGCUAAGAGCAAUAUACUGUUGCUAAUCAACACCACACAGACAGUAAAUCAACCGCUGGAUCAAACCAGGGAUCCUGGAACGGUAAGGUGGCAAUGCUUGUCUGUAGGUCAGGUCUGUGCAACUAUAAAAUUCAUGACAUCAUUAUCAGCAUAUGGGUCCCAUGGCAGAGAUGGACACUAAUUUCCAUAGCUUGCAUAUACAGUAAGAAAGAUCAGCAAGUCGUGAGCACUCUUGGCCCACAAUGAAGUUUAUCGUUACCCACAGAGAGUUAAAGUGUGAGAGUUCGGUGUGCUGUGGAUCAAAUAGAAAUCUGCUACAUGUGGCAUUGUGCUCUCUGGGUCUCUCCCUUUUCCAUUCAGCCACUUCUGACAGGGUAGAAAUAUACAGCCUGAGUGCCCUUUUUCCUAAUGGAAGUGAGCAUCUUUCAUGGUUAAGAGUGCGAAAGAAGCUGUCCCAUAGAUUUCUUGCCAAUAACAGGAACUAGUUGCUGGGUAAAGCUGGUACCAUUCUGGGCUGAUAGUGGGCUCAGUCAGGGCUGCCUUCUUUAAUGGCUCUCUUCCCAAAAAUCGAUGUUUCCAUAUAAAACUGCAUGGUGUAUGUAAAUGAUCAAGUGAAUGGUUAUGGCAACAAGAUAUCUAAGGUUUCUUGAUUGCAUUUCAACAAUUAUGCGAGAAACAUGAAGUGCUCCGCUGAAAUGCACCCACCAUGAUACUGCAUGGCACUACUAGGUUCUAUUUUAUAUCUAAUUUUACAACAGAACACACAGCAGUAAAGCUGUGGUAAUGUGCCUUCACAAAUGGGUGAAAAGAUAAUGCUUUUGUCUGUCUUGCUGUUCCUGAUGUCGUUAUGGAUGUUGAUUUGCAACUGACAUUUACCGCUUUUACCAAGACUUCCCUAUUCCCCCCUCCCUAUCUUGCCAAUUAGCUGCAUGGUCACAGAGGAUGUUGUUUGGCAUAUUUGGCUGUGUGCAGAUUGAAUUUGCUCCAGGGUUGGGUUCAGCUCUCAGCAGCGCAAAUGAUUAUCUGACCAUCUUGUAUAGAGCAGUAAUGGAACAGUUAUGCCACAGCCAGUCCUGUUAACAACAAGAAUGGUCCUGUUUAAAAACACCCAUUUCUGAGAGUCAAUUUCAGGAUGAAUAAGACCAGCAACAUGGAAACUGCAGAAGAACAAGGAGGAAGGUGUUACCAAUGCAAUGAAAUGCUACACAGAACAGAUGGACCUUCGUUCAAGCAUUUGAGCCACUGAUUAAAUGAUUCUAAUGUGACAAUUCUCUCUCUCUCUCUCUCUCUCUCUCUCUCUCUCUCUCUCUCUCUCUCUCUCGCUUGCUCAUUGUUUUUCUUUCCCAGGCCUUGAACAUUAUUUCCCUCCCUCGCCUCUGGAAAGGCAGGACUGCCCGACUCCAACUCAGCCUUGGUGAUAACAGACCACCAGAUAAACACCAAAAGCUUUUAACUUAAUUCUGUUUGUGUGUGAGAUCAAUUAGCUUUUCAACAGAGUCAUUCCUCUGAUUAUUUGGCCCUGUUUUUAAUUAUACAGUGAUGCUGCAGGCUGUGCAAAAUCACAGAAAACUCACCCUGGAUGAAGAGGACUUAAGGCUUACUGUGCUUGAUGUAGUUGUGGUAGGAGGUGUCACGCAUUGUGCUUAUGGCUCUGAGCUUGUGAUCCAAAGCUUGUGACUCUGAGAGCCUCUGAUGGGCCCUUGAGCAAGAUUCUUCUCCACCAACUGCUCACCUGUAUGCUUGGAUUGUAUCCUUUCUCAAUUGUAGAUUGCUUUUGAUAAAAACAAAUGACAAAUGAAAAAGUGUCAAAUGGUGUGUAUUUCUUUCUCCUUUGUCCAGCAGGUUUUUUUUUUGUGUGUGUGUGUUUGUCUAAUUUCCCCCCUUUAAACUUUAAAGUAUUAACAGCUCUCCAGGUCUGUUCAAAUGGAACUGUAACUCAAGAAGCUACAAUCAUCAAUUUAAAGGGCAAUUAUAUGAUCAUGUGAAUGACGCAUUGGCCACCUGAAGCUUCCUGGCUCACAACCAUGACAUUCUCUACUCUUGACUGUAAGGUUUGUGGCUUUAUCUUGUAUCUGCCUGUAGAUAAAAUGCCUUUGAAGAAAGUUUGUCCUUGUGUUUUAUGUGCUAGUGUGUGUUUACACGUUCAUGUGUACAAGACAUACUGGUUGGUGUUUAGACCACCAGGCAGGAUGAUGGAGAUUUUGCAUGAAAGUCACCUGGCUGAUGCUGGUCCUGUGUUCAAUAUGAAGAUGAGGUGGGUCCUUCUGCCCCCACCACGAGCACCUUAAUUGCUGCAGGGAUGAUUCGCAAAAGACAGAUAAACUAUCAGAUCAGGCAGCCCACAUCACACACUCCAUCUCCAUACAGGUGUGAUGGUCCAGCAGUUUCCUUUACCAUUAAUCUGAAAAGCAUUGAACAGUUUGCAUCAGGGUGAGAAUGCACGACAGUCCAGACAUCAACAGCUAACAAAACAAAGCUUCAGCAUGGGGGAAACAAGUGGCAGCGUGGACAGUUGGUGUUAUAAUUACAUCUUAAACGGGUCAUUAGAAGAAGGUCAACUUGUUGUGACAUCGCACCUGGUGGCCAACCCGUUGAAGAUGGCUAAGAAAGAUUAGUGCUAGCACUCAAUUGGACACAUCUUGAUCAAACUCAUUACAACUCACAGCAAGCCAUCAUGAUAAAAAAAGAGUGAAAGGGAUAAAAAGCCUACUUCAUGAGGAGUGAAAUCAAAAUGCUGACGUAAAUAAUAGCUUGGACAAUCAGUUUGAAGCAGGCUUCAAAAGGGGCACCCAGUAUGGUUGGAAACUUUCUCUCUAUGCUUUUCAUUGCAGGUGUUUCUUAAUUAACAGAGGCCCACUUCAUAAGACACCCUAUGCCAUUAAUGCCACAUCACAGUCCUGAUGGUAGGUAUUCAUUAAAAAACACUCAGUGACAAGGCGUGGGUAGAAGCUCUUAUGUGAAGAUGUCCUUCAGGGAGUCAACACCUGUGUCUCCAGCAAUAUUUCCAAAUUUGUUUAAUAUAUAUAAAUAUAUAUUCAAUUGUUGAAAUCAUAAAUUGUAUCUGGGUCAUUCUAAACAAGUGCUACAAAUUCAGGGUUGGUAAAGUGUUUUUUCUAUGUAAUGAAGUGUAAUUAACUGAUUUUUAAUAAACUAACUUCAUCUAUUUUUCUGUAAAAUCAUUUCAUUAUAUUUUAACACUCAUUAAUUUAUGCAACUAACCUGAAACAUUAUCUAUUUUUAUGAUAAUGCGAAUAAAAUUAUAGGUGGCACAUUCUAUACAUAACUGUUUCAUAAUCCUCUUGUUAUUUUCAGUCUGAUUACCAGCAUGUGGACAAAAUUACCAUACUUUCCAGGCAAGUAUUUUACAUGAAGUAUUCCUGAACUUUUAAGAUGUCUAUUGAUUAAAAAACAAAAAACAACAACAACAACAAAAAAACAAUAUUCCAUUGUAAACUUGGCACAAAAUAUGUGCCAUAGAGAUGUUUUUAUGUAGUAAAAA
Ictalurus punctatus (channel catfish) is the source of this 5157-nucleotide long non-coding RNA. RefSeq lists it as uncharacterized. The record is from RefSeq and is a predicted model, not a curated record. The transcript has 2 exons. Lineage: Eukaryota; Metazoa; Chordata; Actinopteri; Siluriformes; Ictaluridae.